Struthio camelus australis is the source of this 1504-nucleotide long non-coding RNA. RefSeq lists it as uncharacterized. The record is from RefSeq and is a predicted model, not a curated record. NCBI's taxonomy places the organism in Eukaryota, Metazoa, Chordata, Aves, Struthioniformes, Struthionidae.
UUUAAAUCAGCUAGCUGGAGUCUGGGAGAUGGUCUGGUUGUUGUUAGAGAGGGUAAUUUAGCCUGCCAAGGAACGGGAAAAGAAUCAUAAUAAGGCUUAGCAGGUGCAGGUUGGUGAAAAUGCAGGUGAAAAACAGCAGCAUUCCAGUCAUGUAAAAAUGAAGUGAGAGAGUGUUGGAACAGACUUUCUUUAUUUUUAACCAAGGGAAGCAGACACUGAAAUGUGUAUGGGAAAUGCAACAGAAUGUGCUACAGCCCAGGACUCUGCAGAAAGCCUGCUUUCACAUUUUGGAUAGACGGUUAAGUUCCCAAGGAAUGUGUAUUCCCAUGAAGAGCUUUUGGAAAAUGCAUGCAUGGCAAUUACUGCACUGGAGGAAUCUCUCUAAUGGAUGCCACUCUUACCAUGAAAAAGAGGCGUUUGAGCUAUCUUCUCAUUAAGAGGACUAUAACAGAGGAAACAACAUUACUAGAGAAAUCUAAGCAGCUCUGACUAAGAAGACAUGGCAAACGUAGAGUGGGUACGGCCUCUUGCUAUGAAUCCAGAGGCUCAGGUCUGAGUCUUACGUCCUACAGUAGUGAGGGCUGUCCCCAAGUGACCCGGUGCAGAAAGGGGAUAAUCGGAAUUAGGCCAUUCGAGGUAGCCGGAAAGGCAACUGCCACUGUCACUCCCUCGUGUAUCGCUGACUACAUGGCAGAUGCUGGCUCACCUUAACCAUACCUGACUGUUUGCCUGGGCUCGGCUGAACUGGACAGAUCUCAGUGUAAUGACCCAGGUUCUGAUUAGUGCCUUUGAACUGUGUUAAAAAUUUGAAAUGUGAACCUUGACUGUGAUCUUUCUUGUGUGUAGGAAUUUUCCUGGUGCAACUAACUAAAAUUAAUCCAAAAUCUUCCGAGCUUCACAUGUUUAAAUUUGGAGAAAAAUGGGAAGGUAUUUCACCAUGGUUUCCUUUUUCUUUUCCACUUCUUCUUUGGCUGCUACGGUAAUAUGCAUUGAAAUAGUGAUCUGAAAGAAUCAUGAAGCAUACUCAGAAAAAAAUAUGGAAUGAUCAUUAACAAUGUGCUUCAAUAUUUAAUCAAAAUAAAUCCAACAAGAUAAGUGUUUUCCAAAGUGCUUCAGUUCAUCCUAAGGUAAAUAUCUAAGAUACGUAAGUGGGACAAAUUGCACUCCAGAAAUACCAUUCUUUUUCUAUUGCUUAUUGAAGAACUCAGAUCACUAGGUUAGAUUAUGUGCCUGAUUUCUAGCAGGCUAAAAUUAAGUCAGUAGAAUACCAUCCUAGAUGGUGGUGCAAUAACGAUCAUCUCUUUGAAGUCUCACUGUAUUCAGUACAACAUUGGCACCUCAAGAAGAAGCCUUGAGUUCAGCUAGAUGAUAGAAAAACAGUUAUUGGGUAAGCAUGAAAUAGAUAAAUGCUAAUCCCUAAAUUAUGUAAAAUGUUGUAAAAAAAUUAUUUUGCUUUCAAACAGACUAAAAAGGAUUCUGGCUGUCUGUUUUAUAACGUUUCAAU